CAACCCUGAUCAUCCAGUGAGCUUCAGAGUGUAAGAUCCAGGAUGGGAGAAUGGGCCAAUGCCACUCACAGCAAACACUACUGACAAGCUGUUAAUUUAGUUUCUGUCACUGUGAACCAAGUGCUUGGCCAGGGGGCGUUCCUCCUUCCAUGCUGUGUCUGCUCUGAUCUCACAUGACCCCUGCCAAGCAAAUGAGACCCAGACCCUUGACCUGACUCACUCGAUCUCUGUGGCUCCCAUCACAGCCCGGCUCCUCCCAUACUGACAUACAGCUGAGUCUGUUCACUCAGGUGCUGACUGUAGAGGGUGCUGAAAUAUCAC
This is a non-coding RNA of Peromyscus maniculatus bairdii (prairie deer mouse), 321 nucleotides long. Lineage: Eukaryota; Metazoa; Chordata; Mammalia; Rodentia; Cricetidae. The record is from RefSeq and is a predicted model, not a curated record.